GAUGAACGCUGGCGGCGUGCCUAAUACAUGCAAGUCGAGCGAACAGACGAGGAGCUUGCUCCUCUGACGUUAGCGGCGGACGGGUGAGUAACACGUGGAUAACCUACUUAUAAGACUGGGAUAACUUCGGGAAACCGGAGCUAAUACCGGAUAAUAUAUUGAACCGCAUGGUUCAAUAGUGAAAGACGGUUUUGCUAUCACUUAUAGAUGGAUCCGCGCCGCAUUAGCUAGUUGGUAAGGUAACGGCUUACCAAGGCAACGAUGCGUAGCCGACCUGAGAGGGUGAUCGGCCACACUGGAACUGAGACACGGUCCAGACUCCUACGGGAGGCAGCAGUAGGGAAUCUUCCGCAAUGGGCGAAAGCCUGACGGAGCAACGCCGCGUGAGUGAUGAAGGUCUUCGGAUCGUAAAACUCUGUUAUUAGGGAAGAACAAAUGUGUAAGUAACUAUGCACGUCUUGACGGUACCUAAUCAGAAAGCCACGGCUAACUACGUG
Molecule: ribosomal RNA, 497 nt
Filed under: uncultured bacterium
Lineage: Bacteria
Description: partial 16S ribosomal RNA
Rfam family: Bacterial small subunit ribosomal RNA
Source: RNAcentral